RNAcentral lists this unclassified non-coding RNA (455 nucleotides) under Hevea brasiliensis (rubber tree). The record is from RNAcentral. Lineage: Eukaryota; Viridiplantae; Streptophyta; Magnoliopsida; Malpighiales; Euphorbiaceae.
AAUCAUCGCUGCAAACACCAGCGCCGCGAGGCGCGAAGCAAAGGUCAUGAAAGAACCCCUUGGACCACCAGAUGGCCGGAUUUCAUGUCCAUCGCUUAACGCCUUGCUGANUAGGCAUAAGCUGCGGUCCCACGUCCCCGACUCGAUUGUUUAUCGGCAUCAACUAUGACGGCACGGCGGCAAGAAAAUAAAGGGCAACGCCUUGGAAUCGCCUGUCUUGCGGUCCUUGCCGGGCUGGCCGGGCCGUAUACCAGCGCGUCCGCGGUCACCGAACGGGUGGUGGUGAACCGCCAUAGCGGCCUUGCCAUCGAUGGCUUCGACCCUGUGGCCUAUUUCACCGACGCCGAGGCGGCCAGGGGGCAGCCCGACAUCGAGGCGUCCAAGGAUGGCGCCGUCUGGCGUUUCCGGAACGAAGCCAACCGCGCCGUUUUCCUCAGCCAUCCGGAUAUCUACGG